CCGCACGGGUGAGUAACACGUAUGCAAUCCACCUGUAACAGGGGGAUAACCCGGAGAAAUCCGGACUAAUACCCCAUAAUAUGGGCGCUCCGCAUGGAGAGCCCAUUAAAGAGAGCAAUUUUGGUUACAGACGAGCAUGCGCUCCAUUAGCCAGUUGGCGGGGUAACGGCCCACCAAAGCGACGAUGGAUAGGGGUUCUGAGAGGAAGGUCCCCCACAUUGGAACUGAGACACGGUCCAA
Molecule: ribosomal RNA, 240 nt
Filed under: uncultured bacterium
Lineage: Bacteria
Description: partial 16S ribosomal RNA
Rfam family: Bacterial small subunit ribosomal RNA
Source: RNAcentral